UCUCAUGGUACUGGCAUCUGCAA
RNAcentral lists this non-coding RNA (23 nucleotides) under Mus musculus (house mouse). The record is from RNAcentral. Lineage: Eukaryota; Metazoa; Chordata; Mammalia; Rodentia; Muridae.